RNAcentral lists this ribosomal RNA (468 nucleotides) under uncultured bacterium. Its description in RNAcentral is "partial 16S ribosomal RNA". It matches the Rfam family "Bacterial small subunit ribosomal RNA", at positions 28 to 507 of the family's 1533-position model. The record is from RNAcentral.
GACGAACGCUGGCGGCGUGCUUAACACAUGCAAGUCGAACGGAAAGGCCCUGCUUUUGUGGGGUGCUCGAGUGGCGAACGGGUGAGUAACACGUGAGUAACCUGCCCUUGACUUUGGGAUAACUUCAGGAAACUGGGGCUAAUACCGGAUAGGAACUCCUGCCGCAUGGUGGGGGUUGGAAAGUUUCGGCGGUUGGGGAUGGACUCGCGGCUUAUCAGCUUGUUGGUGGGGUAGUGGCUUACCAAGGCUUUGACGGGUAGCCGGCCUGAGAGGGUGACCGGCCACAUUGGGACUGAGAUACGGCCCAGACUCCUACGGGAGGCAGCAGUGGGGAAUAUUGCACAAUGGGCGGAAGCCUGAUGCAGCAACGCCGCGUGCGGGAUGACGGCCUUCGGGUUGUAAACCGCUUUCGCCUGUGACGAAGCGUGAGUGACGGUAAUGGGUAAAGAAGCACCGGCUAACUACGUG